RNAcentral lists this transfer RNA (73 nucleotides) under Daphnia galeata. It matches the Rfam family "tRNA". From Rfam's summary of the family: Transfer RNA (tRNA) molecules are approximately 80 nucleotides in length. Their secondary structure includes four short double-helical elements and three loops (D, anti-codon, and T loops). The record is from Rfam by way of RNAcentral. Lineage: Eukaryota; Metazoa; Arthropoda; Branchiopoda; Diplostraca; Daphniidae.
GCCCGGUUAGCACAGACGGUAGAGCGCGGGACUUUUAAUCCCGAGGUCAAGGGUUCAAGUCCCUUAUCGGGCG